CAGGCCUAACACAUGCAAGUCAAGCGAUCCGAUGGGAGCUUGCUCCCUUAGGUCAACGGCGGACGGGUGAGUAACACGUGGGUAACCUGCCUGUAAGACUGGGAUAACUCCGGGAAACCGGGGCUAAUACCGGAUGCUUGAUUUAACCGCAUGGUUCAAUCAUAAAAGGUGGCUUUUAGCUACCACUUACAGAUGGACCCGCGGCGCAUUAGCUAGUUGGUGAGGUAACGGCUCACCAAGGCGACGAUGCGUAGCCGACCUGAGAGGGUGAUCGGCCACACUGGGACUGAGACACGGCCCAGACUCCUACGGGAGGCAGCAGUAGGGAAUCUUCCGCAAUGGACGAAAGUCUGACGGAGCAACGCCGCGUGAGUGAUGAAGGUUUUCGGAUCGUAAAACUCUGUUGUUAGGGAAGAACA
RNAcentral lists this ribosomal RNA (419 nucleotides) under Bacillus sp. Lgg10.15. RNAcentral's name for it is "bacterial SSU rRNA". It matches the Rfam family "Bacterial small subunit ribosomal RNA", at positions 43 to 451 of the family's 1533-position model. Lineage: Bacteria; Bacillati; Bacillota; Bacilli; Caryophanales; Bacillaceae. The record is from RNAcentral.